CCCUGACACUUCCUCCACCUUUGUGCCUCCUUCCACCAUGAGGUGAGCAGCUUUCUUCUUCUGUGGCUUCCCAUGUCCUGCCUCAUGGUGCUCCAGCCUGUAAGUCACAGUGCUAAGAAGUGACAGAAGUGACCACAGACCAACACCUCUAAAGCAGAAGGCCAAGAUGAUGACAGCUUUGCAGCUAUUAAACCCAGAACCAUCUCCUGCGGUUGCCUUAUUCUUUCAGCUGUAUGUGUGUUGCUUGGAUCCUCUGGAACUGGAGUUACAGACAGUUGUGAGCUGCCAUGUUGGUGCUGAGACUUGAACCCUAGUCCUUUGGAAGAGCAGCCCGUGCUCUUAAUUGUUGAACCACCACUCUAGCUCUCAGGAAGAUUGCUUUUUACUGUAUCUGAAAUAUUUC
RNAcentral lists this long non-coding RNA (403 nucleotides) under Cricetulus griseus (Chinese hamster). Its description in RNAcentral is "lncRNA (ENSCGRG00015034651.1)". Lineage: Eukaryota; Metazoa; Chordata; Mammalia; Rodentia; Cricetidae. The record is from RNAcentral.